UCUGGGAAGAGGUUGUUUGUGUCUCCGAUGCCAUAGAAAACACAGCCUUUUAACUUAUUAAGGAGGGACACGGCACAAUCACCCAGGCUGGAGGUUACCAAGAAACUUCCGGACCCUCUUCCUGUGUCCCUACAAAAGGCCCGGACAAUGCGGUCCCAGCCCUGCUGUGGGACACGGGCGGGGCCCCACCUUCCUCCUUCCUGCAGGGAUAUCCUUUCCUAUAGAAGAGAUGUAUCCGCCGCCACCAGAAGUUGGGGACAUUUCCGCUCACCCCCGAAACGAAUGUGUUCUGCGUUUACAACAAAUGACAUCUUUCAAAGUUGGCAAUAAAUCAAAGUUAAGUGAA
Molecule: long non-coding RNA, 346 nt
Organism: Myotis brandtii (Brandt's bat)
Lineage: Eukaryota; Metazoa; Chordata; Mammalia; Chiroptera; Vespertilionidae
Exons: 3
Source: RefSeq, a predicted model, not a curated record